UUGUAGCCUGCUAUGGUAUAACUUAGUGGCAGACGGGUGAGUAAUGUAUAGGAAUCUACCUAGUAGUACGGAAUAAUUGUUGGAAACGACAACUAAUACCGUAUACGCCCUACGGGGGAAAAAUUUAUUGCUAUUAGAUGAGCCUAUAUUAGAUUAGCUAGUUGGUGGGGUAAUAGCCUACCAAGGUAAUGAUCUAUAGCUGAUCUGAGAGGAUGAUCAGCCACACUGGAACUGAGAUACGGUCCAGACUCCUACGGGAGGCAGCAGUGGGGAAUAUUGGACAAUGGGCGAAAGCCUGAUCCAGCCAUGCCGCAUGAGUGAAGAAGGCCUUUGGGUUGUAAAGCUCUUUUAGUGAGGAAGAUAAUGACGGUACUCACAGAAGAAGUCCUGGCUAACUCCGUGCCAGCAGCCGCGGUAAUACGGAGAGGGCUAGCGUUAUUCGGAAUUAUUGGGCGUAAAGGGCGCGUAGGCUGGUUAAUAAGUUAAAAGUGAAAUCCCGAGGCUUAACCUUGGAAUUGCUUUUAAAACUAUUAAUCUAGAGAUUGAAAGAGGAUAGAGGAAUUCCUGAUGUAGAGGUAAAAUUCGUAAAUAUUAGGAGGAACACCAGUGGCGAAGGCGUCUAUCUGGUUCAAAUCUGACGCUGAAGCGCGAAGGCGUGGGGAGCAAACAGGAUUAGAUACCCUGGUAGUCCACGCUGUAAACGAUGAAUGUUAAAUAUGGGGAGUUUACUUUCUGUAUUACAGCUAACGCGUUAAACAUUCCGCCUGGGGACUACGGUCGCAAGAUUAAAACUCAAAGGAAUUGACGGGGACCCGCACAAGCGGUGGAGCAUGUGGUUUAAUUCGAUGCAACGCGAAAAACCUUACCACUUCUUGACAUGAAAAUCAUACCUAUU
Molecule: ribosomal RNA, 895 nt
Filed under: Wolbachia endosymbiont of Culex quinquefasciatus
Lineage: Bacteria; Pseudomonadati; Pseudomonadota; Alphaproteobacteria; Rickettsiales; Anaplasmataceae
Description: bacterial SSU rRNA
Rfam family: Bacterial small subunit ribosomal RNA
Source: RNAcentral